UGGCCGGUGGCGGGCGUGCUAUACAUGCAAGUCGAGCGGACAGAUGGGAGCUUGCUCCCUGAUGUUAGCGGCGGACGGGUGAGUAACACGUGGGUAACCUGCCUGUAAGACUGGGAUAACUCCGGGAAACCGGGGCUAAUACCGGAUGGUUGUUUGAACCGCAUGGUUCAAACAUAAAAGGUGGCUUCGGCUACCACUUACAGAUGGACCCGCGGCGCAUUAGCUAGUUGGUGAGGUAACGGCUCACCAAGGCAACGAUGCGUAGCCAACCUGAGAGGGUGAUCGGCCACACUGGGACUGAAACACGGCCCAAACUCCUACGGGAGGCAGCAGUAGGGAAUCUUCCGCAAUGGACGAAAGUCUGACGGAGCAACGCCGCGUGAGUGAUGAAGGUUUUCGGAUCGUAAAGCUCUGUUGUUAGGGAAGAACAAGUACCGUUCGAAUAGGGCGGUACCUUGACGGUACCUAACCAAAAAGCCACGGCUAACUACGUGCCAGCAGCCGCGGUAAUACGUAGGUGGCAAGCGUUGUCCGGAAUUAUUGGGCGUAAAGGGCUCGCAGGCGGUUUCUUAAGUCUGAUGUGAAAGCCCCCGGCUCAACCGGGGAGGGUCAUUGGAAACUGGGGAACUUGAGUGCAAAAAAGGAGAGUGGAAUUCCACGUGUAGCGGUGAAAUGCGUAAAGAUGUGAAGGAACACCAGUGGCGAAGGCGACUCUCUGGUCUGUAACUGACGCUAAGGAGCGAAAGCGUGGGGAGCGAACAGGAUUAGAUACCCUGGUAGUCCACGCCGUAAACGAUGAGUGCUAAGUGUUAGGGGGUUUCCGCCCCUUAGUGCUGCAGCUAACGCAUUAAGCACUCCGCCUGGGGAGUACGGUCGCAAGACUGAAACUCAAAGAAUUGACGGGGGCCCGCACAAGCGGUGGAGCAUGUGGUUUAAUUCGAAGCAACGCGAAGAACCUUACCAGGUCUUGACAUCCUCUGACAUCCUAAAAAUAGGACGUCCCCUUCGGGGCAAAAUGACAGGGGUGCAGGUUGUCGUCAGCUCGUGUCGUGAAAUGUGGGUUAAGUCCCG
Molecule: ribosomal RNA, 1071 nt
Filed under: Bacillus subtilis
Lineage: Bacteria; Bacillati; Bacillota; Bacilli; Caryophanales; Bacillaceae
Description: bacterial SSU rRNA
Rfam family: Bacterial small subunit ribosomal RNA
Source: RNAcentral